AAUGAUAUUUUGGACAAUGCUGAU
This 24-nucleotide non-coding RNA is filed under the name Cricetulus griseus (Chinese hamster). Lineage: Eukaryota; Metazoa; Chordata; Mammalia; Rodentia; Cricetidae. The record is from RNAcentral.